AGAAAAAAACAAGAGAGAGAGAACAAUCGCAAUGAAUCCAGAGAAGAAUUGUACAAGCUUAAUAAUCAGAAGUGCAUAGAGCAAAUUUUACUUCUGCUUAUAAAAAAAAUUACUUCUAAAAAAAAGGCCCUUUAUCAUUUGAAUUUAAUUAUGCCAAUUAAAUAAGGUUCAAUAUUGUUUAAACUCAGAGUCAAAUUUAUAUCAAAAUACUGACGAACAAAUACUAAACUAUGAUUAACAAUAUCAUCCGGCAAUAUUGUUCUAUUUAAUAGAAUUAUGAACUUCCAGAAACAAUAAUCAUCCAAUUUCCUAGCUAGCUAUAUGAACACAGCUAUUUUGUAAAUCAUCUCUUCCUAGUGAUCAAAUCAAACAAUUUGUGCCACAAUAAAAGUACAUAAAUAUGAAAAUGAAGGGGGAAAAACCCAAACACAAAAGAAACAUCUGCCUCUAUCUCGUUUCAAUGUGAUAACAUAAUACAGAAACGAUCAAAAUAAAAUGAUUCGAAGGAAAAGAAAUGGAAUAAAAAAGGUAUAGUCAUCGAUAGCCAUCGAUUCAUGCCCCAAUUAAACCUGCAUUCUCAGUACUGUAUCCAAAUCCAGACCGAAACCCGAAAACCAAUCACGAGAAACACGCAUAGAUACGAAGUAUUUACCAAAGAUCAACCCCAAAAAAAUUUCAAAAGACCACAAACCCAAAACUCCCCUUGGGCCUCAGGUCAGACCCCAAAUGGAAUUUCCAGUUCUGAAAUAAGGAAACGAUGGGUAAUGGCUCCGACCCAGAAGA
Molecule: unclassified non-coding RNA, 783 nt
Filed under: Hevea brasiliensis (rubber tree)
Lineage: Eukaryota; Viridiplantae; Streptophyta; Magnoliopsida; Malpighiales; Euphorbiaceae
Source: RNAcentral